UUGAAUGUGAAUUGAUUUAUGUUUGGUUACAGUUUAUUAGAAGUGAUUCUUGUGGGUUGAUGUUGUUCGGAUAG
This 74-nucleotide microRNA precursor is filed under the name Medicago truncatula (barrel medic). Its description in RNAcentral is "MIR5272 microRNA precursor family". It matches the Rfam family "MIR5272 microRNA precursor family". The record is from Rfam by way of RNAcentral. Lineage: Eukaryota; Viridiplantae; Streptophyta; Magnoliopsida; Fabales; Fabaceae.